This 534-nucleotide ribosomal RNA is filed under the name Crocidura littoralis (Butiaba naked-tailed shrew). RNAcentral describes it as "partial large subunit ribosomal RNA". It matches the Rfam family "Bacterial large subunit ribosomal RNA", at positions 1816 to 2586 of the family's 2925-position model. Lineage: Eukaryota; Metazoa; Chordata; Mammalia; Eulipotyphla; Soricidae. The record is from RNAcentral.
CACCUCUAGCAUUUCUAGUAUUAGAGGCACUGCCUGCCCAGUGACAUUAGUUUAAAGGCCGCGGUAUCCUGACCGUGCAAAGGUAGCAUAAUCAUUUGUUCCUUAAUUAGGGACUUGUAUGAAUGGCCUCACGAGGGUUUAACUGUCUCUUACUUUCAAUCAGUGAAAUUGACCUCCCCGUGAAGAGGCGGGGAUACAAAAAUAAGACGAGAAGACCCUAUGGAGCUUAAAUUAACAUGUUCAACAAAAUUUUAAUUUAACCCAACAGGAAUAACUAUAAUUUAACUGAACAAUAAAUUUUGGUUGGGGCGACCUCGGAGAAUAACAAAACCUCCGAGUGAUUUUAACCAAGACUUACCCGUCAAGGUUACAUAACUUAUUGAUCCAAUCAUAUUGAUCAACGAAACAAGUUACCCUAGGGAUAACAGCGCAAUCCUAUUUGAGAGUUCAUAUCGACAAUAGGGUUUACGACCUCGAUGUUGGAUCAGGACACCCAAAUGGUGCAGCAGCUAUUAAAGGUUCUUUUGUUCAACG